Molecule: ribosomal RNA, 700 nt
Filed under: uncultured bacterium
Lineage: Bacteria
Description: bacterial SSU rRNA
Rfam family: Bacterial small subunit ribosomal RNA
Source: RNAcentral
GAACUUGCAUCGAACUGUGGAUUGAGUACAGGGAGAGAGUGACUCCGAGUAGCGGUGGAAUGCGUAGAUAUCGGGAGGAACCACCGGUGGCGAAGCGGCUCUCUAUCCUGAUACUGACACUGAGGCGCGAAAGCCAGGGAGCGAACGGGAUUAGAUACCCGGUAGUCCUGGCUGUAAACGAUGGGCAUUAGGUGUAGAAGCAUUAUGCUUUUUGUGCCGUAGCUAACGCGAUAAAUGCCCCACCUGUGGAGUACGGUCGCAAGGCUGAAACUCAAAGNAAUUGACGGGGGCCCGCACAAGCGGUGGAGCAUGUGGUUUAAUUCGAUGCAACGCGAAGCACCUUACCGGGGCUUGACAUUUACUUGACUGCAUGGGAAACCAUGUUUUCUCUCCCAAGAGACAGGUAAACAGGUGCUGCAUGGCUGUCGUCAGCUCGUGUCGCAAGAUGUUGGGUUAAGUCCCAAAACGAGCGCAACCCCUAUCUUCAGUUGCCAUCUUCUCCGAUUUUCGGGGAAAGGAACUCUGGAGAGACCGCCCUGGUUUAAACGGGGAGGAAGGUGGGGAUGACGUCAAGUCCUCAUGGCCUUUAUGUCCCGGGCUACACACGUGCUACAAUGGUCUGUACAGAGGGUCGCGAUGCCGCGAGGUUCAGCUAUCCCUAAGCAGGCCUAGUUCAGAUUGGAGUCGCAUUCGACUCCAU